Molecule: ribosomal RNA, 532 nt
Filed under: uncultured bacterium
Lineage: Bacteria
Description: bacterial SSU rRNA
Rfam family: Bacterial small subunit ribosomal RNA
Source: RNAcentral
AAAAGGCUCACCUAGGCGACGAUCCGUAGCGGGGUCUGAGAGGAUGAUCCGCCACACUGGGACUGGAGACACGGCCCAGACUCCUACGGGAGGCAGCAGUGGGGAAUUUUGGACAAUGGGCGCAAGCCUGAUCCAGCCAUGCCGCGUGAGUGAAGAAGGCCUUCGGGGUUGUAAAGCUCUUUCGGCCGGGAAGAAAUCGUGUUCUCUAACAUAGGACAUGGAUGACGGUACCGGACUAAGAAGCACCGGCUAACUACGUGCCAGCAGCCGCGGUAAUACGUAGGGUGCGAGCGUUAAUCGGAAUUACUGGGCGUAAAGCGUGCGCAGGCGGUUUUGUAAGACAGAUGUGAAAUCCCCGGGGCUUAACCUGGGAACUGCGUUUGUGACUGCAAGGCUAGAGUACGGCAGAGGGGGGUGGAAUUCCUGGUGUAGCAGUGAAAUGCGUAGAGAUCAGGAGGAACACCGAUGGCGAAGGCACGCCCCCUCCGGGCCUGGUACUCGUACGGCCUCAUGCGACGAAAGCGUGGGGAGC